This 492-nucleotide ribosomal RNA is filed under the name uncultured bacterium. RNAcentral's name for it is "partial 16S ribosomal RNA". It matches the Rfam family "Bacterial small subunit ribosomal RNA", at positions 29 to 507 of the family's 1533-position model. The record is from RNAcentral.
AGUGAACGCUGGCGGUAGGCCUAACACAUGCAAGUCGAACGGCAGCACAGUAAGAGCUUGCUCUUACGGGUGGCGAGUGGCGGACGGGUGAGGAAUACAUCGGAAUCUACUUUUUCGUGGGGGAUAACGUAGGGAAACUUACGCUAAUACCGCAUACGACCUACGGGUGAAAGCAGGGGAUCUUCGGACCUUGCGCGAUUGAAUGAGCCGAUGUCGGAUUAGCUAGUUGGCGGGGUAAAGGCCCACCAAGGCGACGAUCCGUAGCUGGUCUGAGAGGAUGAUCAGCCAGACUGGAACUGAGACACGGUCCAGACUCCUACGGGAGGCAGCAGUGGGGAAUAUUAGACAAUGGGCGCAAGCCUGAUCCAGCCAUACCGCGUGGGUGCAGAAGGCCUUCUGGUUGUAAAGCCCUUUUGUUGGGAAAGAAAAGCAGCAGGUUAAUACCCCGCUGUUCUGACGGUACCCAAAGAAUAAGCACCGGCUAACUUCGUG